RNAcentral lists this ribosomal RNA (426 nucleotides) under uncultured Klebsiella sp. RNAcentral describes it as "bacterial SSU rRNA". It matches the Rfam family "Bacterial small subunit ribosomal RNA", at positions 927 to 1347 of the family's 1533-position model. The record is from RNAcentral. Lineage: Bacteria; Pseudomonadati; Pseudomonadota; Gammaproteobacteria; Enterobacterales; Enterobacteriaceae.
UUUGUCCAAAGCGGGGGAGCAUGUGGUUUAAUUUGAUGCAACGCGAAGAACCUUACCUACUCUUGACAUCCAGAGAACUUAGCAGAGAUGCUUUGGUGCCUUCGGGAACUCUGAGACAGGUGCUGCAUGGCGGUCGUCAGCUCGUGUUGUGAAAUGUUGGGUUAAGUCCCGCAACGAGCGCAACCCUUUUCCUUUGUUCCCAGCGGUUCGGUCGGGAACUCAAAGGAGACUGCCAGUGAUAAACUGGAGGAAGGUGGGGAUGACGUCAAGUCAUCAUGGCCCUUACGACUAGGGCUACACACGUGCUACAAUGGCAUAUACAAAGAGAAGCGACCUCGCGAGAGCAAGCGGACCUCAUAAAGUAGUCCUAGUCCGGAUGGGAGUCUGCAACUCGACUCCGGAAGUCGGAAUCGCUGAUCGUCGCCU